Molecule: ribosomal RNA, 433 nt
Filed under: uncultured bacterium
Lineage: Bacteria
Description: bacterial SSU rRNA
Rfam family: Bacterial small subunit ribosomal RNA
Source: RNAcentral
ACGAACGCUGGCGGCGUGCUUAACACAUGCAAGUCGAACGAGGGCGCAAGCCCGAGUGGCGGACGGGUGAGUAACACGUGGGAAUCUGCCCAAUAGUGGGGGACAGCCCGGCGAAAGCCGGAUUAAUACCGCAUACGCCCUACGGGGGAAAGGCGCAAGCCGCUAUUGGAUGAGCCCGCGUAAGAUUAGCUAGUUGGUGAGGUAAAGGCCCACCAAGGCAACGAUCUUUAGCUGGUCUGAGAGGAUGGCCAGCCACAUCGGGACUGAGACACGGCCCGGACUCCUACGGGAGGCAGCAGUCGGGAAUAUUGGACAAUGGACGCAAGCCUGAUCCAGCAAUACCGCGUGUGUGAAGAAGGCCUGCGGGUUGUAAAGCACUUUCAGUGGGGAAGAUAAUGACGUUACCCACAGAAGAAGCACCGGCUAACUCCGU